RNAcentral lists this ribosomal RNA (252 nucleotides) under uncultured bacterium. Its description in RNAcentral is "partial 16S ribosomal RNA". It matches the Rfam family "Bacterial small subunit ribosomal RNA", at positions 52 to 334 of the family's 1533-position model. The record is from RNAcentral.
CACAUGCAAGUCGAGCGCCCCGCAAGGGGAGCGGCGGACGGGUUGGUAACGCGUGGGAAUGUACCCUUUUCUACGGAAUAGCCUCGGGAAACUGAGAUUAAUACCGUAUACGCCCUUCGGGGGAAAGAUUUAUCGGAGAAGGACCAGCCCGCGUAAGAUUAGAUAGUUGGUGGGGUAAUGGCCUACCAAGUCUACGAUCUUUAGCUGGUUUGAGAGGAUGAUCAGCAACACUGGGACUGAGACACGGCCCAG